AGUGAACGCUGGCGGUAGGCCUAACACAUGCGAGUCGAACGGCAGCACAGUAAGAGCUUGCUCUUACGGGUGGCGAGUGGCGGACGUGUGAGGAAUACACCGGAAUCUACUUUUUCGUGGGGGAUAACGUAGGGAAACUUACGCUAAUACCGCAUACGACCUACGGGUGAAAGCAGGGGAUCUUCGGACCUCGCGCGAUUGAAUGAGCCGAUGUCGGAUUAGCUAGUUGGCGGGGUAAAGGCCCACCAAGGCGACGAUCCGUAGCUGGUCUGGGAGGAUGCUCAGGCACAUGCAGAAUCAGGAUCGGUCCGAGUACCUUUGCGAGGCACCAGUGCAGAAUAUUGACCAAGGGGAGCAAACCUGAUCCAGUCAUCCCACGCGGGUGAAGAAGGCGUUCGCGUUGUAAAGCCCAUUUGUUGGGAAAGAAAAUCAGCCGGUUAAUACCCCACUGUUCUGACGGUACCCAAAGAAUAAGCACCGGCUAACUACGUG
Molecule: ribosomal RNA, 492 nt
Filed under: uncultured bacterium
Lineage: Bacteria
Description: partial 16S ribosomal RNA
Rfam family: Bacterial small subunit ribosomal RNA
Source: RNAcentral